Molecule: ribosomal RNA, 669 nt
Filed under: Vibrio sp. B1(2011)
Lineage: Bacteria; Pseudomonadati; Pseudomonadota; Gammaproteobacteria; Vibrionales; Vibrionaceae
Description: bacterial SSU rRNA
Rfam family: Bacterial small subunit ribosomal RNA
Source: RNAcentral
GGUUGUGGCCUUGAGCCGUGGCUUUCGGAGCUAACGCGUUAAGUAGACCGCCUGGGGAGUACGGUCGCAAGAUUAAAACUCAAAUGAAUUGACGGGGGCCCGCACAAGCGGUGGAGCAUGUGGUUUAAUUCGAUGCAACGCGAAGAACCUUACCUACUCUUGACAUCCAGAGAACUUUCCAGAGAUGGAUUGGUGCCUUCGGGAACUCUGAGACAGGUGCUGCAUGGCUGUCGUCAGCUCGUGUUGUGAAAUGUUGGGUUAAGUCCCGCAACGAGCGCAACCCUUAUCCUUGUUUGCCAGCGAGUAAUGUCGGGAACUCCAGGGAGACUGCCGGUGAUAAACCGGAGGAAGGUGGGGACGACGUCAAGUCAUCAUGGCCCUUACGAGUAGGGCUACACACGUGCUACAAUGGCGCAUACAGAGGGCGGCCAACUUGCGAAAGUGAGCGAAUCCCAAAAAGUGCGUCGUAGUCCGGAUUGGAGUCUGCAACUCGACUCCAUGAAGUCGGAAUCGCUAGUAAUCGUGGAUCAGAAUGCCACGGUGAAUACGUUCCCGGGCCUUGUACACACCGCCCGUCACACCAUGGGAGUGGGCUGCAAAAGAAGUAGGUAGUUUAACCUUCGGGGGGACGCUUACCACUUUGUGGUUCAUGACUGGGGUGAAGUCGCA